AGCAGCCGCGGUAAUUCCAGCUCCAAUAGCGUAUAUUAAAGUUGUUGCAGUUAAAAAGCUCGUAGUUGAAUUUCGGGAUCAAUAUGUUGGUCGUGCCUUGGUACGUACUGGCGUCAUUGAUUUCUACCUUCUGAAGAACCUCGAUGUCAUUAAUUUGGUGUCUUGGGGAAUCAGGACUGUUACUUUGAAAAAAUUAGAGUGUUUAAAGCAAGCUCACGCUUGAAUACAUUAGCAUGGAAUAAUGAAAUAGGACGUUUGAUUCUAUUUUGUUGGUUUCUAGGAUCGACGUAAUGAUUAAUAGGGAUAGUUGGGGGCAUUAGUAUUCAAUUGUCAGAGGUGAAAUUCUUGGAUUUAUUGAAGACUAACUACUGCGAAAGCAUUUGCCAAGGAUGUUUUCAUUAAUCAAGAACGAAAGUUAGGGGAUCGAAGACGAUCAGAUACCGUCGUAGUCUUAACCAUAAACUAUGCCGACUAGGGAUCGGAUGAUGUUAAUUUUUUCAAUGACUCAUUCGGCGCCUUA
RNAcentral lists this unclassified non-coding RNA (520 nucleotides) under uncultured Glomus. Its description in RNAcentral is "SSU rRNA". It matches the Rfam family "Eukaryotic small subunit ribosomal RNA", at positions 569 to 1090 of the family's 1831-position model. Lineage: Eukaryota; Fungi; Glomeromycota; Glomeromycetes; Glomerales; Glomeraceae. The record is from RNAcentral.